CUCAAGAAAGAGGAAUCAAGCAUCGAAACAAUAUGUAAACCAGCUAAAGCCAUCAGCACCGCCCAUCACACUAUGGGAGCUGGCCAUGCCCGAAGUCAUUACCUUAACCGCAAGGAGGGGGAUGCCGGAGGCAGGGCUAGUGACUGGAGUGAAGUCGUAACAAGGUAGCCGUACUGGAAGGUGUGGCUAGAUCACCUCCUUU
Molecule: non-coding RNA, 202 nt
Filed under: Gossypium hirsutum (cotton)
Lineage: Eukaryota; Viridiplantae; Streptophyta; Magnoliopsida; Malvales; Malvaceae
Description: Bacterial small subunit ribosomal RNA
Rfam family: Bacterial small subunit ribosomal RNA
Source: Rfam by way of RNAcentral